RNAcentral lists this ribosomal RNA (253 nucleotides) under uncultured bacterium. Its description in RNAcentral is "partial 16S ribosomal RNA". It matches the Rfam family "Bacterial small subunit ribosomal RNA", at positions 524 to 776 of the family's 1533-position model. The record is from RNAcentral.
UACGUAGGGAGCAAGCGUUGUCCGGAAUCAUUGGGCGUAAAGCGCGCGUAGGUGGACACAUAAGUCCGUUGUGAAAGUCAAAGGCUCAACCUUUGAAAGCCGAUGGAUACUGUGUGGCUAGAGUACGGAAGAGGCGAGUGGAAUUCCUGGUGUAGCGGUGGAAUGCGCAGAUAUCAGGAGGAACACCAAUAGCGAAGGCAGCUCGCUGGGACGUUACUGACACUGAGGCGCGAAAGCGUGGGGAGCGAACAGG